Molecule: non-coding RNA, 875 nt
Organism: Delphinapterus leucas (beluga whale)
Lineage: Eukaryota; Metazoa; Chordata; Mammalia; Artiodactyla; Monodontidae
Source: RefSeq, a predicted model, not a curated record
GCGCACGCGCGGCCAUCAGCUUGGUCCCAGGUGGAGCUGUUUUAGCCGAGCUGGCGCCGCCGUCAGCCUCCGAGAUGGGCGCGGCAGAGGCUGACCGCUGGGCUUGGCUGCUGGUGCUCAGCUUCGUGUUUGGGUGCAAUGUACUCAGGAUCCUCCUCCCGUCCUUCUCCUCCUUCACGUCCAGGGUGCUGCAGAAGGACGUGGAGCAGGAGUCUCAGAUGCGAGCAGAGAUUCAGGGUAUGAAGCAGGAGCUCUCCACCGUCAACGUGAUGGACGAGUUUGCCAGAUACGCCAGGCUGGAGAGAAAGAUCAACAAGAUGACUGAUAAGCUCAAAACUCACGUGAAAGCACGGACAGCUCAGUUGCCUAAGAUAAAAUGGGUUAUAAGUGUUGCUUUCUACAUAUUGCAAGCUGCCCUGAUGGUCACACUCAUCUGGACAUACUACUCUGUCCCUGUGACCGUGGUGCCGAGUAGAUGGAUAACUCCACUAGAACCCCUCGUAGCAUUUCCCACUGGAGUAGCAGGGCUUGCAGCAAAGGAACAGACGCCUAGAGAACUUACGUGUCCAGUGUCACCGAAAUGUGAAGUAGCAGGGCUACAGUUCAACCCAAGCCUGCCUCAGUAUUCCAAGCCCAAUACCUGGGGUCUGAUACCCCAUUUAUUGAAACACCACCUCUGGUUCCCAAAUUCUGUGACUCCUUUUCAAUUCACACUAUGCUUAGCCCCUCUGCAGCAUUUCCUGCUAUCGGCCAUUCUUUCACUUCUGAAAGAAUUUCUUUUGGGUUUUAAAAUUAGUACAUGUCAUCGUAGAAUGAUUAGAAAUAUAAGAAAAAACUUUUUAAAAGACUCAGUAGCUAUGGAUAACCCCUCUUAA